UACAGAGGUCUCAAGCGUUGUUCGGAAUUACUGGGCGUAAAGCGCACGUAGGCGGCUUUGCAAGUUAGAGGUGAAAGUCCGGGGCUCAACUCCGGAAUUGCCUUUAAAACUGCAUCGCUAGAAUUGUGGAGAGGUAAGUGGAAUUCCGAGUGUAGAGGUGAAAUUCGUAGAUAUUCGGAAGAACACCAGUGGCGAAGGCGACUUACUGGACACAUAUUGACGCUGAGGUGCGAAAGCGUGGGGAGCAAACAGG
RNAcentral lists this ribosomal RNA (253 nucleotides) under uncultured bacterium. RNAcentral's name for it is "partial 16S ribosomal RNA". It matches the Rfam family "Bacterial small subunit ribosomal RNA", at positions 524 to 776 of the family's 1533-position model. The record is from RNAcentral.